UGCCAGUGAUAAACUGGAGGAAGGUGGGGAUGACGUCAAGUCAUCAUGGCCCUUACGACCAGGGCUACACACGUGCUACAAUGGCGCAUACAAAGAGAAGCGACCUCGCGAGAGCAAGCGGACCUCAUAAAGUGCGUCGUAGUCCGGAUUGGAGUCUGCAACUCGACUCCAUGAAGUCGGAAUCGCUAGUAAUCGUGGAUCAGAAUGCCACGGUGAAUACGUUCCCGGGCCUUGUACACACCGCCCGUCACACCAUGGGAGUGGGUUGCAAAAGAAGUAGGUAGCUUAACCUUCGGGAGGGCGCUUACCACUUUGUGAUUCAUGACUGGGGUGAAGUCGUAACAAGGUAACCGUAGGGGAACCUGCGGUUGGAUCACCUCCU
Molecule: ribosomal RNA, 382 nt
Filed under: Salmonella enterica
Lineage: Bacteria; Pseudomonadati; Pseudomonadota; Gammaproteobacteria; Enterobacterales; Enterobacteriaceae
Also listed under: 1 other name
Description: bacterial SSU rRNA
Rfam family: Bacterial small subunit ribosomal RNA
Source: RNAcentral